GUAAAGAUGCCAGAAGUUUAAUGGAAUUGAUUUAGGAUUAAUUUAUGUGGGUUUCCCGCUCUUUAUG
This 67-nucleotide transfer RNA is filed under the name Moniezia expansa (sheep tapeworm). RNAcentral describes it as "tRNA-Leu". It matches the Rfam family "tRNA". From Rfam's summary of the family: Transfer RNA (tRNA) molecules are approximately 80 nucleotides in length. The record is from RNAcentral. Lineage: Eukaryota; Metazoa; Platyhelminthes; Cestoda; Cyclophyllidea; Anoplocephalidae.